ACUCUAUUCUGUGACAACCAGUCAGCCAUUCACAUUGCCAAUAAUCCCAUUUUUCAUGAAAGAACAAAACACAUUGAAGUGGACUGCCACCUUGUUCGUGAAAAGCAUUUGUCUGGUCUCAUUCAUCUUAUGCCAGUUCGUUCCAAAGAUCAACUUGCUAAUUUUCUUACCAAAGCUCUGCCACCGGGUCCUUUUCUUGCUAAUGUUUCCAAGGUAGGAUUGUUAGAUUUACACAAUUCUAGCUUGCAGGGGGUGUUACCUAGAUUAUUUCUUUAUCAAUAAUAGGCUUAUCAUUGUAAUUAUUUUUUAGUGAGAAUACAUAAAGAGUACAUAGUAUAUAAGGUGUAAUAACUCAACAAAUAUUUUAUAAGGAGAUUAUUCAUUCUCUUCAACAAUGAGAAGAACUUAUCUUUCUCCCUCUCUUAAUCCCUUUUCGUUCAUCAAACCAUCAACAUCACAGCUUGAACAGCUUAGGGCAUGAGAUUUUCUUCAAUUUUUCUUUGGAUUU
Non-coding RNA from Arachis ipaensis, 508 nucleotides. The record is from RefSeq and is a predicted model, not a curated record. NCBI's taxonomy places the organism in Eukaryota, Viridiplantae, Streptophyta, Magnoliopsida, Fabales, Fabaceae.